This 451-nucleotide ribosomal RNA is filed under the name uncultured bacterium. Its description in RNAcentral is "partial 16S ribosomal RNA". It matches the Rfam family "Bacterial small subunit ribosomal RNA", at positions 29 to 523 of the family's 1533-position model. The record is from RNAcentral.
AACGAACGCUGGCGGCAUGCCUAACACAUGCAAGUCGAACGCCUGUAGCAAUACAGGAGUGGCAGACGGGUGCAUAACACGUGGGGACCUACCCUUGGGUUCGGAAUAACCGCGGGAAACUGCGGCUAAUACCGGAUACGUCCUAUGGGAGAAAGAUUCAUCGCCCUUGGAGGGGCCCGCGUCGGAUUAGCUAGUUGGUGAGGUAACGGCUCACCAAGGCGACGAUCCGUAGCUGAUCUGAGAGGAUGAUCAGCCACACUGGAACUGAGACACGGUCCAGACUCCUACGGGAGGCAGCAGUGGGGAAUAUUGGACAAUGGGGGCAACCCUGAUCCAGCAAUGCCGCGUGGGUGAUGUAGGCCUUCGGGUUGUAAAGCCCUUUUGGCAGGGACGAUGAUGACGGUACCUGCAGAAUAAGCCCCGGCUAACUUCGUGCCAGCCGCCGCUGUAA